GAUGAACGCUGGCGGCGUGCCUAAUACAUGCAAGUCGAGCGAACGGACGAGAAGCUUGCUCCUCUGAUGUUAGCGGCGGACGGGCGAGUAACACGUGGAUAACCUACCUAUAAGACUGGGAGAAUUUCGUGAAACCGUAGCUAAUAACGGAUAAUAUUAUGAACCGCAUGGUUCAAAAGUGAAAGACGGUUUUGCUGUUAGUUAUAGAUGGAUCCGCGCUGCAUUAGCUAGUUGGUAAGGUAACGGCUUACCAAGGCAACGAUGCAUAGCCGACCUGAGAGGAUGAUCAGCCACGCUGGAACUGAGACACGGUCCAGACUCCUACGGGAGGCAGCAGUAGGGAAUCUUCCGCAAUGGGCGAAAGCCUGACGGAGCAACGCCGCGUGAGUGAUGAAGGCCUUCGGAUCGUAAAACUCUGUUAUUAGGGAAGAACAUAUGUGUAAGUAACUGUGCACAUCUUGACGGUACCUAAUCAGAAAGCCACGGCUAACUACGUG
RNAcentral lists this ribosomal RNA (497 nucleotides) under uncultured bacterium. Its description in RNAcentral is "partial 16S ribosomal RNA". It matches the Rfam family "Bacterial small subunit ribosomal RNA", at positions 28 to 507 of the family's 1533-position model. The record is from RNAcentral.